Molecule: ribosomal RNA, 449 nt
Filed under: uncultured bacterium
Lineage: Bacteria
Description: partial 16S ribosomal RNA
Rfam family: Bacterial small subunit ribosomal RNA
Source: RNAcentral
AACGAACGCUGGCGGCAUGCCUAACACAUGCAAGUCGAACGAGAUCUUCGGGUCUAGUGGCGCACGGGUGCGUAACGCGUGGGAAUCUGCCCUUUGGUUCGGAAUAACAGUUGGAAACGACUGCUAAUACCGGAUGAUGACGAAAGUCCAAAGAUUUAUCGCCAGAGGAUGAGCCCGCGUAGGAUUAGCUAGUUGGUGUGGUAAAGGUGCACCAAGGCGACGAUCCUUAGCUGGUCUGAGAGGAUGAUCAGCCACACUGGGACUGAGACACGGCCCAGACUCCUACGGGAGGCAGCAGUGGGGAAUAUUGGACAAUGGGCGAAAGCCUGAUCCAGCAAUGCCGCGUGAGUGAUGAAGGCCUUAGGGUUGUAAAGCUCUUUUACCCGGGAUGAUAAUGACAGUAUCGGGAGAAUAAGCUCCGGCUAACUCCGUGCCAGCAGCCGCCGUAA